UUGUAUGAUGGUCUGACAAGAACAAAACUGUCUCUACAUAAAUUAAUAAAAUUUGAUUUUUAGGUGAAGAAGCCUAAAUUACAUUAAAAGACAAGAAGACCCUAUCGAGCUUUAAAAAAAUUAGUAUAUUUAAUAGUUAAUGUUAAUAAAAAAAUAUUUACUAAAAAUUUUGGUUGGGGCGACUAAGGAACAAAAAAAGCUUCUUUAAAAAAUUUUAACUUACAAGUAUUGAUCCAGAUUUACUGAUACAAGAAAUUAGUUACCGUAGGGAUAACAGCAUUAUCUUUUUUAAGAGUUCUAAUCGAAAAAAAGGUUUGUGACCUCGAUGUUGGACCAGAAUAUCCCAAAGAUGCAGAAGUCUUUAAAGGUUGGUCUGUUCGACCAUUAAAAUUCUACGUGAUCUG
Molecule: ribosomal RNA, 404 nt
Filed under: Penion sp. XMUB6491
Lineage: Eukaryota; Metazoa; Mollusca; Gastropoda; Neogastropoda; Buccinidae
Description: partial large subunit ribosomal RNA
Rfam family: Bacterial large subunit ribosomal RNA (bases 59-404)
Source: RNAcentral